RNAcentral lists this unclassified non-coding RNA (209 nucleotides) under Glomus sp. RNAcentral describes it as "partial contains 5.8S ribosomal RNA and internal transcribed spacer 2". The stretch from base 1 to 71 matches the Rfam family "5.8S ribosomal RNA", at positions 84 to 154 of the family's 154-position model. The record is from RNAcentral. Lineage: Eukaryota; Fungi; Glomeromycota; Glomeromycetes; Glomerales; Glomeraceae.
GUGAAUCAUCAAAUCUUUGAACGCAAAUUGCACUUUCUGUAAUUCCGGAAAGUAUGCCUGUUUGAGGUUCAGUUAAAUAAAAAUCGGUUUUGUUGCUGCCUUUCGUGGUAACGCGUCGGAUUUGAGUCUUCUUCCCUUCGGUUAAGCUUCUUAAAAUUUUUCCAUGAUUUUCGAACGUAUUUAAAUCGUUUACGAACUUUGUAGAUAUC